RNAcentral lists this ribosomal RNA (253 nucleotides) under uncultured bacterium. Its description in RNAcentral is "partial 16S ribosomal RNA". It matches the Rfam family "Bacterial small subunit ribosomal RNA", at positions 524 to 776 of the family's 1533-position model. The record is from RNAcentral.
UACGAAGGGUGCAAGCGUUACUCGGAAUUACUGGGCGUAAAGCGUGCGUAGGUGGUUUGUUAAGUCUGUUGUGAAAGCCCCGGGCUCAACCUGGGAAUGGCAAUGGAUACUGGCAAGCUAGAGUGCGGUAGAGGGUAGUGGAAUUCCCGGUGUAGCGGUGAAAUGCGUAGAGAUCGGAAAGAACACCAACGGCGAAAGCACUCUGCUGGGCCGACACUGACACUGAGAGACGAAAGCUAGGGGAGUGAAUGGG